RNAcentral lists this ribosomal RNA (253 nucleotides) under uncultured bacterium. Its description in RNAcentral is "partial 16S ribosomal RNA". It matches the Rfam family "Bacterial small subunit ribosomal RNA", at positions 524 to 776 of the family's 1533-position model. The record is from RNAcentral.
UACGUAGGGGGCAAGCGUUGUCCGGAAUUAUUGGGCGUAAAGCGCGCGCAGGCGGUCCUUUAAGUCUGAUGUGAAAGCCCACGGCUCAACCGUGGAGGGUCAUUGGAAACUGGGGGACUUGAGUACAGAAGAGGAAAGCGGAAUUCCACGUGUAGCGGUGAAAUGCGUAGAGAUGUGGAGGAACACCAGUGGCGAAGGCGGCUUUCUGGUCUGUAACUGACGCUGAGGCGCGAAAGCGUGGGGAGCGAUCCGG